UGCUCUCCCAUCAACUCCUGUACUCCACCGGUUUGAGAAGAGUAGGGGGAGUCAAUGGGAGAGCAUCUCCCGUUGACAUCACGUAGUGUGGAUCUCGCAUUUCUGGCAAGAAGGAAUUGAGGGAGGGGGGAGCGGGCAGCACCCCUUAUGCCAGCACAUACAUGCACCACUUCACAGGGUGCCAGAGGCGGUCCCCUAUGGUUACCACUGAGGGAAAAACCUUGCGGCACCGGUGCAUGUGGCAAGCACACACACCUACAAUGGAAUGGGCAUGAAUGUCACAUCUCAAAGAACAACAGUCACAAAAGAAGUCUUAAGAGCAACACUCCGAUGCAGAAACUACAGAACCUGAACCAUUAGAAAAGAGACUCAACCUUCUGUUGGUGGCCUCUGACUCAGAUGAUGAAAAUGAACAUGUCUGUCUGCACUGCUUUGGAUCAUCAUUGAGCAGAACCUGUCAUCAGCAUGGAGACCCGUCCUCUGGAAUGGUCAUUGAAGCAUGAAGGGUCAUAUGAAUCUUCAGGGCAUUUGGCAUGUAAAUAUUUUGUGAUGCUGGCUCCAACAGUGCCAUGUGAACAUCUGUUCUCAUUUUCAGGUAACAUCAUAAACAAGAAAUGGGCAGCAGUAUCUCCUGCAAAUGUUUGUCUGAGUGAUUUGCUGAACAAGAAGUAGGACUGAUUGGACUUGUAGGCUCAAGUUUUACAUUUUAUUUUUGAAUGCAGGUUUUUUAUAUAAUUCUACAUUUGUAAAUUCAAUUUUCAUGAUAGAGAUUGCACUACAGUACUUGCAAUGGGGGAACUGAGAAAUACUAUUUCUUUUUUUUACAGUGCAGAUAUUUGUAAUAAAAAAUAUAGUUAGCAAUGUA
Long non-coding RNA from Gopherus flavomarginatus (Mexican gopher tortoise), 865 nucleotides. RefSeq lists it as uncharacterized. NCBI's taxonomy places the organism in Eukaryota, Metazoa, Chordata, Testudines, Testudinidae. The transcript is spliced from 3 exons. The record is from RefSeq and is a predicted model, not a curated record.